GCGCCGCAAGGCUUAAUCGGGAAUCCGGUGAGAGUCCGGAACUGUCCCCGCAACUGUAAAUGUGGACGAAAUGGAGAACCACUGUAUUGGAAGGGUUGAAUCGCCGCCAAUAUGGGAAGGACCAGAGUAGAGAGAAGCAUAAGUCAGGAGACCUGCCUAGUAA
RNAcentral lists this non-coding RNA (163 nucleotides) under Rubeoparvulum massiliense. Lineage: Bacteria; Bacillati; Bacillota; Bacilli; Caryophanales; Bacillaceae. The record is from RNAcentral.